UGGGUGACCUGCCCUCAGCUCUGGGAUAAAGCCCGGGAAACUGGGUCUAAUACCGGAUACGACCUCCGCGGGCAUCUGCGGAGGUGGAAAGGUUUUCCGGCUGAGGAUGGGCCCGCGGCCUAUCAGCUAGUUGGUGGGGUGAUGGCCCACCAAGGCGACGACGGGUAGCCGGCCUGAGAGGGCGACCGGCCACACUGGGACUGAGACACCGGCCCAGACUCCGUACGGGAGGCA
RNAcentral lists this ribosomal RNA (234 nucleotides) under uncultured bacterium. RNAcentral's name for it is "partial 16S ribosomal RNA". It matches the Rfam family "Bacterial small subunit ribosomal RNA", at positions 118 to 350 of the family's 1533-position model. The record is from RNAcentral.